This 459-nucleotide ribosomal RNA is filed under the name uncultured bacterium. RNAcentral's name for it is "partial 16S ribosomal RNA". It matches the Rfam family "Bacterial small subunit ribosomal RNA", at positions 338 to 795 of the family's 1533-position model. The record is from RNAcentral.
CCUACGGGAGGCAGCAGUGAGGAAUAUUGGUCAAUGGACGGAAGUCUGAACCAGCCAUGCCGCGUGCAGGAAGACGGCUCUAUGAGUUGUAAACUGCUUUUAUAAAGGAAUAAAACGAGGCACGUGUGCCUUUUUGCAUGUACUUUAUGAAUAAGGAUCGGCUAACUCCGUGCCAGCAGCCGCGGUAAACGGAGGAUCCGAGCGUUAUCCGGAUUUAUUGGGUUUAAAGGGAGCGUAGAUGGGUUGUUAAGUCAGUUGUGAAAGUUUGCGGCUCAACCGUAAAAUUGCAAUUGAUACUGGCAGUCUUGAGUACAGUUGAGGUAGGCGGAAUUCGUGGUGUAGCGGUGAAAUGCUUAGAUAUCACGAAGAACCCCGAUUGCGAAGGCAGCUUACUAAACUGUGACUGACAUUGAUGCUCGAAAGUGUGGGUAUCAAACAGGAUUAGAUACCCUGGUAGUC